RNAcentral lists this ribosomal RNA (741 nucleotides) under Trifolium repens (white clover). RNAcentral's name for it is "eukaryotic LSU rRNA". The stretch from base 300 to 455 matches the Rfam family "5.8S ribosomal RNA". The record is from RNAcentral. Lineage: Eukaryota; Viridiplantae; Streptophyta; Magnoliopsida; Fabales; Fabaceae.
UUGGAAAGUUAAAAAUCGUAACAAGGUUUCCGUAGGUGAACCUGCGGAAGGAUCAUUGUCGAUGCCUUACAUGCAGACCAACACGUGAAUCAGUUUGAACACAUAGGGUUGGUUUGAGGUGUUCAACACCUCGGCUUGCCUCUGGUUCGGAGGAGGACGAUGUUGUGCGUUCUCCUUUGUGCCAAAACACAAACCCCGGCGCUGAAUGCGUCAAGGAAUUUAAAAUUUGCUCUGAGCGCACCUGCAUGGCACCGGAGACGGUUUUCGUGCGGGUUGUGUUCUGACACAUAAUAUAGAAUGACUCUCGGCAACGGAUAUCUAGGCUCUUGCAUCGAUGAAGAACGUAGCGAAAUGCGAUACUUGGUGUGAAUUGCAGAAUCCCGUGAACCAUCGAGUCUUUGAACGCAAGUUGCGCCCGAUGCCAUUAGGUUGAGGGCACGUCUGCCUGGGCGUCACAUAUCGAAGCCUCUCGCCAAUUUCCUAUAUUGAUAGGGGUAUUGUGCAGGGCGAAUGUUGGCCUCCCGUGAGCUUUAUUGCCUCAUGGUUGGUUGAAAAUCGAGACCUUGGUAGGGUGUGCCAUGAUAGGUGGUGGCUGUGUUACGCACGAGACCAAGUAAGUCAUGUGCUGCUCUAUUGAAUUUAGGCCUCUUUUACCCACAUGCGUUUCGAAACGCUCGUGAUGAGACCUCAGGUCAGGCGGGGCUACCCGCUGAAUUUAAGCAUAUCAAUAGGCCGAAGGAA